UUUUUUUUUUUUUUUUUUUGGUUAUUUUUGAGAAAGCGUAGAAUAGAAUUUGGGGUCCAACAUAUUCCCAUGGGAUAGUUUCUUGAUUUAUAUUUGCUCUUUCCAAAAACAUCUUGUUCUCUAGCUGCCUUUAGUCUUUCUUAAUUCUUACUUCUCCAGGAACCAAUUUGUUCCUUUACUUCCUUCUCUACCUUAACGUUUAUGGAAAUGAUCCGUUAUUUACCAAAAGUGAGAGUUUGAGGAAACCCAAUAUUGACCGAAACCCAUACCUUUUUGUUCUCAAAAUAAAUCCCUUAAGUUCAACUUUCACCAUCCCUUUGAUAUUUUAAUACCUUCAGAAGACGUCAGAACUUUAGUUUCUUUUUUUGUUAUUUCUUAUCAUGGAAGCUCAGAUGAUUUAGUUUUUUUUUGCUCAAUCACCACUAGCUCAACUCUGCAGCCUUUUUUUCUCUGUCUCCCCAAACUCUGCAGUCUUAUUAAAUCGUAUAGUAAUAAUUAAACAUGGGGGGGUCGGUAACUUGAUCAAGAAUUAGGCAUAACCCUUCCAAUCGGAGGCCUUAAGUAGUUUUCUUGUCUUUAAUAAUGGUGUUCUUGUAUUAAUGCUGGCCUUGGUUUGAAGCUACGUGCAUCAGCUGAUCGGCAUAGGAGUUCGAAUUGCACGAAAGUCAACAUUGUCAGCUGCGUUCCCUGCCCUACCACACUGAAAGGAGGGCAGGUUUUGGGGGUCUAAGAUGUCACUAGCAAGGGAGACACCUGAUGCUCUCUCCUUUUUUUUUUUUUUUUUUGGGGUAAUUCUGCCAAAAAUUCUGUGAUAUGGUUUGAGGCCUCUGGGCAUGUAUUGUGGAUUCGGCAGACCUUCCAAAACCCCUGCGCAUGCAUGCACGCGCACGUAGGAGUGGUCACCAUGCAGAUGGUAGCAUGUAAUUAAACAACCUUGCCUAAGCAAUUAGACAUGAAGCUUGAGCCUAAAAGUGGUCCAAUCAGUCUAAUUAGUACGAGAAUUUUUCAUUGAGUGAAUCCGUUUAAUAAGAUUAGCUCCUUCAAUUCACAAUUUCUAGUCAACCGAAGGAGUUAACCACAGCAUGCAUUUUGAUUUUAACAACACAUAGAGGUCAUAAGAUGCUUAAUAUAUAUACAUCCAAGAUGAGAAAUGUAAUGAAGUGUGGCAGAUACUACUAUUAGGAGAUAAAGUGACUGAGGUAAGGUAAGCGACUGAUGUUUUCCCUAAAUCCAGUUGAAUCCAGUCCUCACCGGUCCUCUUAGAUCCAGUUGGGUCUUUCCUUCUAUUAGAAUAGUAUAUGAUAUUAUAGAUAAAAAUGAUGAUUGAUAAAAAAAGGGGGGGGGAAUAAACGAUUGAUGUGGCUACACGAAGAAGAAACAAGGAAGAAAAGUAGCACGGGGUGGUAAAUAGUGAACCAUUAGAAAUUAGUGCAUGGUAGGUGAGAGUAAUAAUGGUGGAAAUUAUGAUUGUGGCUGCAAAGGGGUAGGAAGAAGCUCGGGCGAUGGAUAGUGUGAUUUCUGGGUUGUGGCAUAAGCAUCAUGCAUGGAUGUAGCUAGCCCCAGUCACGCAUACUCUACACACUCACCUUCACAGUUGUGCGGGACAUGCAUAUUUGGCUCUACUGUUCGAUCCAUGACUAAUUGUGUAUUAUUAAGCCUUUGUUUACUUCUACAUUUUGCUGGCAAUGGAAACCUGUUGAAGUUGUAGUAAGUGGUAUUUAGUGGGCAAAAGAAUAGUGCUCGUCGGUGAUAAUUUGUCAAUACGUUCUUAUGCAAUCUGAAAUUAUCUGAAGUCUGAACGUCAAGGCAAUCGAAAAACCCGAAAGGAACUUAUUCCUCCUCCAGGCACCUAGAUUUAUUUCCUUUUGCCAAGAAAACAAACACUACUAUGACAUAUUGUAGUUGAUACAUGUCUUUUAGAUACUGAGAAGUUAACAAAACAUCAUUUUCGAGCUGGAGCUUUAAAAAGAACAAUAAUGUUUAUUAGCGUAUACGUCAAAAGAGCAUUCAAGCAAGCUAUGAAAAGUAAUUCAGAUUAAUAAUUUACAUUGGCUAUGAAGUUUCGCGUACAAAGAACAAACCAGUGUUGGUCGGCCUUAAAUUUUGAUCAAUUGGAACUACAGAUUAUCUUCCAUUCUGUUCUUGGUGGGUAUUUUGGACAGGGAUACCUACUUUUACCAAUCUUAAUAAAUCAUUAGCAGGCGCUAAUGAGAUAUCCAGCUAGGGAAAUAACACCACUUAUUAUUGCUUGAACAUUAAUCAAAGCCUAGAUUAUCCGUCAAAACCCAUUCUUUAUUAAAUGUUAGUACCAAAACUCAAUUGAUCAAAAUAUCAACCAAGAAAUCCAAACUCAAUUAGUAAGAAAUAUUCUAACUUGAUUCUUUAUCCUUUCUCUUCCCAAAUCUUCUUUUCCCUUGUAAAAAGAAAAAAAAAAUAUUUUUGCAUUAACCAAACAAAAUAAAUAAAUAAUACUCAACUGUUGUAAAGUACUACUGGAUUUUUUACUGCUAGAGAGUUCUAUGAUUUGGAUACUGUAUCGAUGAGAUUAAAUUCACCGUAAAAUAUAGAAUAAGAAUUAUUAAUUCUUAAAUUAUUUCAAGAAUUUAAAUCACUAAAUAAUAUUAAAAAAUAUGAGUGAAUUAAAGUCAUGUAUACCAUACCAAAAAGAAGCAGUAGUAUUUUCCUAUAUUACUAUGCAUCUCCAUCGGAAAAGGAAGUUAUACGAGUAGUAUACCUUUUCGAGUAUAGGGGAAAAAAAUAGAUAAAAAACCGAAAAGCAAGAACCGCCCAAUUCAAUUGAUCAAACAGAAAAAACAAAAACAUUCCACUGUAACAGUUCACCAUCAAAAUCUCUCUUUUCCCUGCCUUUCUCUCACUUUUCCAACAGAGCAAGUAACCAAUUGAUUUCUAUUCUACAUUGUAGCAUCAGUGCAUAUGAUCAUAUUCUAUCCAGUCCUUGCGCAAAAUCAUAUUUUGAGCUCUGUAGUAUUUCUCUGACACCAAACCUCUCUUUCAGUCCAAGAUUUCCUUUUUAAUCUUUUUUUUUUCUUUUCCAAUUUUUCUAACUUCACUCUGUCACUUCCCACUUCUUUGCCUUGCUUACCUUUGCUUUCAGGGCAAUUGUUGCAGACCAAAGAUUCAUACUUUCACUCUUAACUCAGCUUUAUCCCAUUAGUGUUGCCCCACAAAGAAAUCCCUUUUCUUUCUUUGGCCUUAUUUUCCAUUUUUCUUUAGUAUUCUUUAUUUUCUUAUCCUACCAGUGUAAGCUGAAUUCUUUGCUGACUGCGCCUUGUUUUCCUGUUUCUUGAAGAACCAACUUCUUCAUUUUCUUUAAAAUUUCUUGCUCAGUGUUAUUUUUGAUGGGUUCUUGGAGUUCUGGGGUUGUCUGAAUCAGCAACUGUUUCUUGAAGCUGUUAACGGACUUGGAGAAACAUGAGGAAUUUUGAAUUUCUUCAAGUCUUUUUACUGAGUCUAGGACUCAUUGCUGGGACUAAUUUGGCCUUUCCCUUAAACGAAGGUGUGGCUCGGCAUUACAGUUCUUAUUGUGUUCUUAGAUCUUGUAUUGUACUCUCUUUAAAAUUCAAGAAUUUGUGAGUAAAUUCAUUGUAAUGUUGUAUUAAUUAAGUUACCAAUCUUAAUGUAGGAUAUUAUUAGGCUUAAUUGCGAUAGUUGACUAUGGUUGCGAUUAUAUAACUAGAAGCGCCAUAGUCCACUGUUGAUGUAGAUUUUUCGGAUAGUGAAAUGGUGCUAUUUUCUGCAGUUUAUGCCCUCAAGACCUUUAAAGAAGCUAUAUAUGAGGAUCCACUUCUCGUUUUGUCAAAUUGGCAAGCAUUAGAUUCAGAUCCUUGUGACUGGCCCGGCAUUUCUUGCUCAAUGGCUCGAGAUCACGUCAUCAAGCUGUAAGAAUUCCUAUCUUCUUAUUUAGUUGUUCGAAGGAAACAUUUUGUCUACUUUAGUCCAAUUUUCAUGUUUUCGUGUGUGUCAUUGUUCCGUGUACCUAAUUGGAUGGCAGUUAAUUGUGCCAAUUUCUUGGUGCUAUUGAUAUGCUAUUUAAUUGGUGUAAAAGUUUUUAUUGUUAAUUAAAUUGCGACUUUGGUGUUGCAGAAAUGUUUCUGGAGCAUCUCUGAAAGGUUUUCUUGCACCGGAGUUGUAUCUAUUGUCUUCUUUGCAAGAACUGUACGGUUUUUCUCAAUUCUACCACAUUUACUUUUCAUUUUCUGAGAACAUGUAAAUGGAGGUUAAUAUUCGAUGCUGGUGAUUUCUAGAAUUCUGCAUAGCAAUUCACUGAUUGGUACAAUACCAAAAGAGUUUGGCUUGUUGAAAAAUCUCAAGGUCCUAGAUUUGGGUGCAAACCAGCUUACAGGACCAAUUCCUCCAGAGAUUGGAAAGUUAUCCAGCAUUGUGAAAAUGUCAGUACAUGUGUAGCAUUAGAAACUCAGCUUUGUUAUCUUAUUUGUGUUUGGACUUCUGCUUAACAAUUGAAGUCUUCUUGUGCUUUAUGCAGAAAUCUUCAAUCGAAUGGGUUGACAGGGAGGUUGCCUCCAGAGCUUGGUAGUCUGAAAUACCUCGAGGAACUUCGACUUGAUAGGAAUAGGCUCCAGGGAACUGUCCCUGCCAGUAAUGGCUCAGAUUUUGCUGAUGAUUUACAUGGAAUGUUAGUGGAAUAAAAUUUAUGAAUCCUUUCCUGUUCUUUGUUUCUUUUUUUUUUUGGUGGGGGGGGGGGGGUGGGGCGUCUUUUGCUUAGUGAAUGUAUCCUACAUAACGUCAAUUUUUGUUUAUUUUUCAACUCAAUCUUUUUUUUUUCUUGCAAUAUAGGAUUUUCUUUAAGGACAGUAACUUUGUUUGCUUAAUAAUUUGUCAGCUUCUUUUUUGCUUAGUAACUUAGUUUUCUUUGCCAUUCUUUUGAAGUAGAACCAAAACUUCUUUUUACACUUUUAAUGAGCAUUGUUUGUAUAGUUCCAUAGCUAAUUUUGGCAAACCGGAUAUAUGAUAUUGAGUACCUCAAUCCAAUUGCAGCCAAAAGCUCAUUUUUAGUCUUACUUUGAAGUUAUUGUGUGUUUUGUGACUUUUGUCAUUUUAAAUUUAUCUAUGUUGGAUUUUUUUUUUUUUUUUGGUUCCUAAAGAGCCCCUUUUUACUGUCUAUCAGGUAUGUCUCCAGUAUGCAGCCAACAGGUUUGUGCCUCUCAUCUCAACUAAAAUUUGUAGAUCUUUCGUACAACUUCUUCAUUGGAAGCAUACCAAAGUGCUUGGAAUAUCUUCCAAGGUAGUGUUUCCCCUGUUUGCUGUUUAGCGUUUCUUUUCCUGUCUUCUUUGCUAAUUCUUUCUGCAUGAUGUGUUUAUAUUCUUCUGCAGGUCAAGCUUUCAAGGAAAUUGUCUGGAUGAUAAAGAUCCUAAGCAGCGCUCUGCAGUACAGUGUGGUAUAUGUCAUAUCCUGUGUGUUUUUCAUGUAAAGCAGCGCUGCUAGAGCCAAGACUUGGAGAUCUUCUCUUAAAUACCUUCAGUUUAAAAACAAAAUUUAAUAGACCAAAUAGUUUAUAUCUUUUUGAAGUGCCUACUUUGGCUCUGGGUGAAUAUAGAUUGAUGUUUGCUUUAUAAUUGCUUUCAAGUUCAAUCAUCUUAAACUAUUAUUGUAAUUUUUUUCUUGGUAAAUUUUCAGAAAACCGUAUCAAAAUGGCCCUCAAGUCACCUGUUUUCAGCAUCUUUGUUAGUACCAACUUUCUUGUUUUUUGACUUCAGUUACAGGUGGUGCUCCAACACCAAAAAGCCAUCCAGUAGCCAAUAGCAGGCACCAUCCUGUUGAACAUAAUUCCAAGCAUCAGACCAGUACUUCAAGACCUGCCUGGCUUUUAGCCCUGGAAAUACUAACUGGCGUGAUGGUUGGUGCUCUCUUACUCGUGGUUCUUGUCUCUGCACUUCAUAAGUGGCAAAACAGACCCUCCAUAAUUAUCCCAUGGAAGAAAUCAGCUAGUGGAAAGGAUUAUACAGCCAUUUUCAUAGGUUAGUGUACAUCUGCUGUUUUUGCGAUUUGAUUUGAAGACCAUUUAUCAGCUUUUAGUGAUAUUUGAUGUGGUGCAUUUAUCCAUAGCUCAAUUUACAUUAUCAUUUUAUUGAAAUGAUUUUACAGAUCCUGAAUCGCUGAGAGGUGUAACAAAGUUAAGCAGACAAGAACUGGAAGUAGCUUGUGAAGAUUUUAGUAACAUUAUUGGAUCCUCUUCAGAUAGCCAAGUCUAUAAAGGAAACAUGAAAGGUGGACCUGAAAUUGCUGUUAUAUCCCUUUGCGUCAAAGAAGAGCAUUGGACGGGCUAUCUAGAGCUUUAUUUCCAAAAAGAGGUCAAAACAUAUUGUGCCCUUCACAUUUAGCUUGGAGGAUUUGAAAUUUGUUUAUUUUUGUUGUGCCAUAAGGAUUUGAUGUUAUGGAUUCAGGUGGCAGAUUUGGCAAGAUUAAAUCAUGAGCACACAGGGAAAUUACUGGGGUACUGUCGGGAGAGCAGUCCUUUCACAAGAAUGCUGGUCUUCGAGUAUGCAUCAAAUGGGACCUUGUAUGAGCACCUCCAUUGUAAGGAAAUCAUUGUUGUCUGUCUCCCUUUUCUCAAAUUUGUGAGAUUUAAUCAUUUCCAAACAUGUUCCAUUUGCUGAAUCUCACUGCUUUUUACUCUGUAGAUGGCGAAGGUUGCCAACUAUCUUGGACACGGCGAAUGAGAAUUGUUAUUGGCAUUGCCAAGGGACUAAAGUAUCUGCAUACAGAACUUCAUCCACCAUUUACCAUAUCAGAAUUGAAUUCUAGUGCAGUAUACUUGACAGAUGAUUUUUCUCCCAAGGUAAAUCCUGAGGCUUACAUCACCUACUAACCAAAAGAACUUGCCUUAGGGUUUGUCUGUUUCACAGACUUCAAGAUUGAGCAUCAAUGGCUAAAUCUCUCUUCCCAAUUAAAGCCAUAAAUUUCAUAUAAAUGUAAGAUUGUUCAAUAUGGUAUUUAAGUAAGGCAGUGGAUACAGUUAUUACCCUGAUCUUGUGAAGAUUAAUGAGUUCUGGCACCUCCCAGCUGGGAAUAGUAGGUGCCAGCUGGGAAUAGUAGGUGCCUUGUAAAAUGUCUGGCAUACUCGCAUGCACAUCAAAAUUCUGCCGCUAUUGAUUAUUGCUUUCUGAAUAAUCUUCCUGAAAAAACUGCUGCAGCUGGUUGAUUUUGAAAGCUGGAAGUCAAUCCAUUCUAGAUCGGAAAAGAAUUCUGGCAGCAUCAGCAAUGAAGGCGCAAUUUGCGUCCUUCCAAAUGGUUUAGAGGCAAGGCAUCUGGAUAUACAUGGAAACAUUUAUGCUUUUGGAAUCCUUCUUCUGGAAAUCGUGAGCGGGAGACCUCCCUACUGUGAGGACAAGGGAUGCUUGGUGGAUUGGGUAAGAACCCGAUGUUUGAAUUUUCCCCCUCUGGCCCUGGUUUCGUAAAUAAUGCAUGGAUCUGUAAAUGGAGAACAAAUAUUUGCCAUGAGUUUUAUGUUUCCUUUUGCCUGUGCAGGCCAAAGAGUAUCUUGAGAUGCCAGAAGUAAUGUCUUAUGUGGUGGAUCCUGAGUUAAAACAUUUCAGAUAUGAAGACCUUAAAGUGAUAUGCGAUGUUGUCAACAUCUGCAUCCAGUCAAGUUCUAACAGUAGAACAUCCAUGCAAGACUUGUGUGCUAUGCUGGAAAGUGGCAUUGACACCUCCGUAUCUGCAGAGAUGAGGGCAUCUUCCUUGGCAUGGGCUGAGCUUGCGCUUUCAUCAUAACUAAUAGGAAGCUGACACUGUAAAUCUGAAUAUAGACUUUAUAGUUUGCCUUUUACCUUCAAUUUUUCCCUCCUUUUUUUUUCCUUCUUGCUAGUUCUUUUAUAGAUUUGAGUGAAGUCAUGCACAUGCGUGCUAUAAGGACAGACAGUCUCACAUAUGACUAAUAUCAAUUAAUUGUAUACCGUUGGUCGGUUAGAGAUUUUGAUGUCAAAUAGUAGAUGAAACCCAUGUUGCAGAAGAUACUUCACUUCUCGAUAAUUGUCAACACUUUUCAACCUUUUUAUGGAGCCAUCGCAAUUCAGUCAGUACUAGGUUAUAUGGCCUUGAAAUGCUACCGGGCAAUAAUUUACAGAAGGAACUUCAGAACACCGGAUCAUUAUCGGAUUAUGUACCAAAUGCUGGCUUUCAGUUGACAGUGAGCAAUGUCAUGCGUGCUAUAAGUUCCAUUACCGCAUGAUGAACAUGUCCCUCUGCUUGUUAGUUACAAGGAGGAGGGACUAGCAAGGAUCAAACCUACGUACAUGGACACGCCUUUAGAACAAAAAAACUGAAGCAACCUUAAAUUGAUGAAAAAUUGAAACCACAUUACAAGCCCCACUUGUACAUACACCUCGUACUCUGCAAUCAAAGGACUAUACUAAGCCCGUGGGAAAAAUUUUGCUGGUGGAUGACAUGCAAAUGAAUUCCACACACAGUCCCACAAAGCUUGAGAGGCCAUCGGCACUAAAUAAUACCCAAAAAGCCCGUAGAUCACAUCUUUAACUCAUUAAAACCCUCAUCAGCUUAGAUCGGUACAAAAUCCUUUUUAAGUGAAUUUUAAAAGCAGCAGCAAAGAGUGCAGGGACGUUCAGUGCUUGGCACGAGAAAAAUGGUUAUCAUUAGGAUUCCUCUUGCCACUAAAAACGGCAAGUGCUUUCCUCACAGGAGGCUGAAGAGGAGCUCUCUUAUCCGUAUGGUGGAUAAAUAUGUCAUCAGAAGCAAAGAUAUCAUCCCCCUACACAACAAAGUACCCCGUGUUCUAAGUCAGAAGGAAGAAAUUGAGAAACAAAAUUAAGAUAGGCAACCAAAAGAUAAUUACUGCAGAUGGGGAGAAAUAAAACAAUUUCGAUACCGCCUGCUUAUUCUUUUUCUUUGUUUUUGGAUACAGAAACUUCUGCGGAAGCUGAUCUUCACGUAAAAUUGGAUUCUUGGUGACAGCAUCUCUGCCCCCUUGAGGUAAAGGCAGGGAAAACUGCAACAUCCCACAAACCAAAACAAGAUAAUUACCAUCAAAUGUAAAAUAAUGAUGCUUAUAUCUGCCAAUUAUUGCCAAAUUCAUUAUAAACCAUAAGAUCAAAUUCAAACACUCGAAAUUCAGCCAUAGAUACUGAUCGAAUCCAGAUAAUUUCUUUUAUUAUUUACCCAAUCAGCCUAAUGCUUCAAGUUUUUCUUCCUUAGUUGUUUUUCUUGUUACUCUCACAAACAUCAACGGACAAAUAAUUGUAUUUAACAAAUCAAAGAGAAGCAUAAAACAACAUCAUUCCAUCUAAUUCAACAGAUAACUAGAACAAAAACAUAGCUGCAAAAUUAGAUUCAUCAACAGUGCUUAAUGAUGCUUAUAAGCCAGCUAACAUUAGCAAGGAUUUAAAAACCAUAAAUCCUGGACUUGAAAAGGCACAAAGGGAGGGGAAAAGAAAAACUAAGGAACCAAUUUCUUGUCUGAAAAAAAUUUACACCAGGGAAAAAUUCCAAUGUUUAAUAAGUCACAAUAAGUGAGCCCUUUUUCCCCCAUUUUCCUUCUCACAACUUAAAAGGUAAUGAAAUUUAUCAUGGUCCAACAUAUACACAAUACACUUCCUAAAAAUUCUUCAAAGAGAAAAAAAUUAACCCAGGUACUCACUUUUGUUCCACGCACUGAUACACGUGGUCGACGUGCUGCAAGUACGACACCAUUUUCACCAACUGUAACAGCAACUUUGCGCAAAGUGCCUCCAUUUCCACAGUUUGGACAGAAAACUCUACCAAUAUCCGUAGUGACCUUGUAGCAUGCAUGGCACUUAAGCACCCACCUAAAGUUACAAAUUUAGACAAAAGUAAGCAUGCAUUUCUCUCAAUUUAUGAGGCCAGAGAAGAACCAUCCAAACCUAACUUAGAACACUGAUACAUGCAGCAAUUACAGGCAAAAUUGCGCUACCACUGAAAAAAAUAAUAAUUAAAACAAAAAAAAAAGAUUGAGGAAAGGCACAGUGACAGAAAGAAGCAAAAGUGUAUUCUACAUACCGGUGCAGCUCUCGGAUUUGCAUUCCUCCGGGUGCUAGGAGGCGCAAACCCAUCUGCAGAAUCACAUUUUGCAUUGCAUAGUCACUAGUUACACAGGCCACGCUUGAUUCAGACAGAGACCGAAGCAUCCAGCUCUGCUCACUGCUAUUAUCAUCCAGUGAUGCACCAAUUCUUUCACUAUUCAGGCUCAAGUUAUCAAGUCCACUACUGAUACCUGUCACUUCGCCUUCGCCUCCAAUGAUAGCACUUUCAGAAUUAUCAGAACUAACUUCAAAAUCAUUGGAAAUGAGCCCCCUAGAGGGUACUUGCAAAUCCUCAUCAGCAUGAAGAGCAACAGAAGAUUCUUCAUCAAGAUGCAUUUGGUGCAAAAUUGCAGAGGCAUCCUUAUCAUUGUCAUUCACUUCACUGGUGGCAUUCUCACCUAAACUCCCAUCAGCAACCUCUUCAGCACAUUCUUCCACUAGCAGCUCAGGACAUUGUGUGUCAUCAACUUCUCCACUUUCUACAUUACCAGAUGCAUCAUCUUUAACAGCUUCAUCAGACAAAGCCUCAUGCAGUUCACGUCUAGCUUUUCUUCUCAGAUAUCUUCUACGUGUACUUCGACUCACAGCAGGCAGCCAAUGCCCAACAUCAUCACCAAAUUCCCCUUUCGUUGCAUCAAUUCCAUCUGCCACCAUCUUCUUCCCGUCAACCUUAGCCUCAACUUUCUUACUCGAGUAUUUCUUUUGCCACCUAGGAUUGCCAUUUGAUACCUCUUGAUUUUCAGAAUGACACUCUCCACAAUGGCCGGUCAGACCAUCUUCCAUAUGUUGAUCUUUGGGAACUACAUUCAGGCUCAAAUCUUUCAGGGGAAGAAUUUUUGACUCGUAGUUUGACUCAUCCUCAGCCACAUGCUCCAAUGCUUCCCACUCUUCCAGAUUAGGAACAUUAGAGCCCCAUCCAGGCAUGUCUUUUUCGGGCAGCCUUUUUACACUAACAGUGUGAAUAGGUGGAGGACUAUCUCUGAGAUGCUGGGUUCCAUGGGUUUGAGCCUCCAACGUACAUGUUAAAGCAAUGAGCUUAAGAUCCACAUCUGAAAGUGUCUGCAGAUCACCAGUUGCCCUAGCAAAGUGAAUAACUGCAAAGUUGCACGAGAGAGAAAUCAAUGAUACAAGUGAGAAUCAUCUAAAGAACAGGAAUGAACUUGUGCAUCUGUUUUAACAGUUUGACCUUUAAGACAAAAUUAGGCACUAAAGUAAACCGCCAAAAUCCACCAAAAGCCUUUUUGUAGCUGAGAUGAACACUAUUUCAUGAGCCAUGAUUACCUCACAUAGAGAUAGGGAAAGAGUAUUAGGGGUUGGGAAGUAUGUGUUUUGGAUUACUCUCCUCCUGAUUUUGUUCAACUCACUGGAAUAGAACAAUGGUUCAGCUACAGAGAACUACAACAUUGUCAAAGUGAGAGAUACCAACAGGAAACAAGAAACACCAUCACCAAUAAAUGAAUCCAGUCAUAAUUACAAGACUUGUCACACAAGGUGCUACAAUAACAAGCUUUAUUGCAUAUCAAUGAAUUAAAAGCAUUUUGCAUCAAUGCCUAGACUUUAUCGUUAUUACUGGAACAGGAAAUCAGGGGAAAAAUCAUGUCUAGAAUUAGCACAGCUCUCCAACUCUUAUUCCAACAAGACCAACACUGCAUCAGGAAUACUGAAACACAACCAUAUACAGCAAAAUCGCAUCCAAAACUUUGGUGACUACCGAAAACGAUGUUAAUAUAUCCCACUUCAAUGAGCUUGUCCAAUUCAGAUUCUAACCAACAAUGAUUCUGCUUGGUCACUCAAAAAUCACUCUGACUAACAAUAACCCAGUUCUGCUAUUCCUAUCCAUCAUUCUAAAUAACCAAAGAAAAUUAACAAUUCGACAUGAACAAAAGUACCCUAAGAAAAAAAGUAAUCUACUUUAUUUCUUGUUUCACUCAUUUCAGCUACUCGCCCCAAAAUUGCAAUAAAAAACCACCUAUAACAGCCGAAGUAGAGAAGCAGACAUACAGCGUUGAACAUUCUAAGCUCAAAAGAACUAAGUAAAGGCUAGCACAAUUGCCAUUCAUAUGCCGAAAAACACAUCCAAUAGCUCGAUUGACAAUCAAAAACCAAAAAAAUAUAUAUAUAUUCGGUCUUUAAUCAAGUACCUUUUUUGAGGGCAUCAGGGGAGGGCUCCAAGGUAUCAACUGAGAAAGGUAGGAAAUUGAGGGAAUGACGAGAGGUGGGGUCACGAAUUUCGCUGAUAACUUCAGAAACCGAAACGAAACGGUCGGCUAUGAGGGCCAGCGAUUGCCCGCCUUGAAUUAUAGCGUUGGCGUCCACUACUGCUACUAAUAUUCCCUUAGUCGACUUGCAGCUCCCAACAGCUAAUCCUUGAGUCGACUUAGGAGAGGCGGAGGAGGUGGCAGAGAUGUGGUCCGGCACUGGCGGCGGUUGAUGCUUGACAAGGUUGCUCCAAGUUGGCUGAGGUGAGGCUUGGACCUCCAUGGCUGUGGACUGUGCGUGUUCGUUGAACCCUCGCUGAGCCCUAGCGACGAAUAUACUGAAAUUAGUGGGCUAUUUGCAUGCUUGGAAAAUUGCGGAAAACGUCCCUCACCUUCGAUGAAAAUAAUUUUCCGUACCUCACAUUUAUAUAAAAUGCUGAUUUUACAUCUCUCACAAAUGUCAGUCAGCUGAAAUUCGUCCAAACCCAACCCUCACAAAAGUCAACCAGCAGUUAGAUUAAUUCGAUUAUUAUUGAUACUUCUAAUGUAGCCAACAAAUUUGUUGAGACACUCAAAGCCAAAGGUGAUUUAGUGAAAGUCUCAUAUAUGUGUUUCCCUGAGAGGAGAAACUAGAAGUAGCUGUUUUACUCAUUUUGGAUAGUCAUUUAUUUAUUAAAAUUUAUCUGCUUGCAUCAAUAAUAUCCAUAAGUUCAAGAACUGUUCCGGCCGCGGCAACCGCUGUCGCAACUCUUUCUUGCCGCCGGAGAGUGGAGUAGUGGAAACUUUUGUCUUUUCUUUCUAUUAAAUUUUUUGGUUGGCGAAGGUGAUCUCGCACUUGAUGCAUAUGAUAACUAAACUACACCCCCAUUUACCCCGGAAAUUGUUCUCUAUGCUGAUUUCAUUGCAGACUGUAAUGACUGCUUAACCCAUACAGCUUUAAACAACCUAAAUGUUGCUGACUGAAGGCCAAUAAGAUAUAAGCAUCUUAUAGAAAUGCAUAAUUCACAUACCAUAAAAAUAAUGCUUCGAACACUGACGACCAGACCCAUAACCUCUAGUCCGGAGCAACCUGUUACAUCUUCAAGAGACGAAAACUAAUGAAUUCUUUCUUUACUAUUCAAAGGUAGAAAAAAGAUGCAACGAUUUGCUAGUAUUGGCCUGGUUGAUUCCAGUGACAAUAAACAUCUUCUGAUAAUAAUGGUUGAGCAAGUUUAAGAAUGACAACGAAGGAUCCAGCCACUGCAGUUUUUGCUGUGAUGAGAAGCGUGGCAGAAUAUGCUACAAUUCUGCUUUGCACAGGGAAUCCCAAAGUAUGCCCAAAUCGAGAUUGCCCCCUGAAACUAUUAUUCCUAUAUGCUCACUGUCCUUCCAAGCAGGAUUGUUCCUGAAGCUAUCAGAUAAUACAGCUGCAAGACCAAUGGCUCCACUUGGCUCCACUGCAACCUUCAAAAUCUCAUAACAAUGCCUCAUGGCUUCCACUAUCUCACUAUCCUCAACCACAAUGAUAUCAUCAACCAAAUCCCGGACGACAGGCCUGCUCAAAAUAAAGGGAGAAUGUUGGCACUUAAUAAAAUCCAUAAUAGUGUACCAAAAAAAAGAACAAAACAUCCAUCGGUUAUGAGGGGAAAAAAUGCCUUAGGAACAUCAUUUCAUAAACAUGGUUAAUGCAUGUAGGAAAGACAAAUUAGCAGAGCAUAUUGAUGAGCAAUAUCUGCAUAAUGGGAACAACAAUUGGCUGAUUAAAAUGUCACAAGUUAAUGCAUGUAGACAUGUUUGUUGACAGGCCUUCAUGUUCAUACCAAAUAAAUUCUCAAAAAACGAUAAAGACUGUGCUCCAUUGGCAGAAAAAGACUUGCAUUGAACCCUUUUCCCUUCUCACAGCAUAGAAAUCAUGGUUACCAUGUGAAUUCUCCAAGAGAAGCUCGAAGCCCAUCAGCUAUGGUUUUCGUUUCAGGCAAUUUAACAAUCUCACCAGCUGCUUUUGACUGAGCUGCAUCAUCUGCGCCCUUAGGUUCAGCUGCCAAAAUUCGAAUGGAAGGUUUUAGGGACUUAGCAGCUAUAGCCACCCCAGAAAUCAAUCCACCGCCUAUAAGAUAGAGGUUACAAAAAUCUGUCAUUUACCAAAACAAAUAUAAAUUGUCACCAGUAGUGCCUUGAAAAUAACAUACCGCUAACUGGGACUAUGAUUGUGUCAAUUUCUAGCACCUGCUCCAAGAGCUCCAGUGAAAUAGUACCUUGCCCACUGCAAAGACAAAGCACGCUGUUACAAUUGUAGAGCUUCCUCUUCUCUUAACUUUAUUCGUGCUAUGUUGCUUGAGCAAAUUACUAUUUGCAUAUAGCACUUGCAACUUUAUACGUAGUUAAAGGAUAAUGCUGUUUGAACUAACCACACUGAGACCAUCCAAAUGGCAAACAAGAAAAAAGGAAAACAACGACAACGGUAACAGAAAGAGACAAGUAAACGAUGAGGAGAACCUUAUAAUUCGUCCAUCAUUAUAUGGAUGAAUCAUCACAGCACCAGUUUCUUGUAGUACCUUUGUUGCAGUUUCCUCCCUGGACUCAAUGGCAGCCUCACUCCAGAUAAUCUGGCCCCCAUAACGCCUGAUAUUCUCAACUUUGCAUUUUGGAGCAUUUUUAGGCACGACAACAUACGCAGGAAUGCCGCGUAUUUUUGCAGCCAGAGAAAGUGCUGCAGCAUGAUUACCGCUAUGUUGGAAUAUCAAAUCAGGCAAUAUUCAGAUAUAGCUAUCGGGGAUAAUAAAAACAAGGAACCAACAAGCAUGGGAAAAACCUGCUAUGAGUUACCACCCCUUUUGCUGCCUGACUAUCAUCAAGUGACAAUAUUGCAUUGCAGGCCCCUCUAAAUUUAAAUGCUCCACUAAAAAUCAGGAAAAAUAAUAGGACCCUAGUUAAUACACAGAGAUGCUCUAAAAAUUGCACUCUUUAAAAUGCUAUAUAAUCACGGACAGAACAAUAAGUUUCAAUGAGACUACCACUGAGCGUAGACUUCUUACCCCUUUUGGAAACAUUCACAUUUAAAAUAUAGCUUUCUUCCACAAAAGGAAUUUAAGGUUUCUGAGGAAAGGACUGGAGUUUUGUGCGCAUAUGAAUUGAUACGGAGUUGUGCUUCUCUAAUGGAAGAAAUAUCAGCAGCAUAUUUCUUAGUGGAUGUUAGACUAUCCGCUUCCAUCCUACAAUGUCAAUGAGAUAUAGACUUUUAAACAUGAUAUUUCAACCAAAUUUAACUUCUCAAACCUCGAAUUUCAAUGUGACCAGUUCAUUAGCAUGAUGAAGGGUCGAAAUCUUGGCAGGAAAUCAAAAAAAUGAAUUGGUGAAAGCUUGCAACAGCUGAAAGUUGAAACAUAGAGAAAAGUAUUCACCACAAUUGUCUUAACGAACAGACAAAGAAGUCAGCAAACACUUUGACAAUGAUAGUCACAUUUUACUAGAACUAUAGAAAACACGAACUAUAAUGUUUCACCUAUAAUCAUCUUAACAAGAUCCAAAGAGGCCAUCUCAUGUAUUUCCUGCAUUAACCCAGAUUAUGAUCAACAAAGGUAUCAGCUUAAGAUAGGUAAAUUAAUCAUAAACCCCAGUAACUUUCCAGUUUAUCAUGCUUCACUACUAUUAUUAUACCAAGAACCAACACAAGAGAUGCAACAAUGAAGCUUCCUAUUACCAUAAGAAGAAAUAAUUAAGCACAAGGAUUUCUUAUAUAGCUAAAGCGAGCCUCACAAAUUGCGAAAUAAAAUAAAAUCUCAAAUUUCAGAAAGGCGAAAAAACAGUAAAGGGUUAUCUAAAGCUACCAUCUUGAAGCAAAUGGUGUUCCUGAAAACCCAGAACAGUGAACCAGUCACAGUCAAUAAAUUUACCAGCAUUUAUGCUACAUGGGGUUCUUUAAUAAUCAGGCUAGUAAUGAAACCCAGUAGGACAAAGCUGUAACAAAUUACCACGACCUUCUUUUUCAAAUACAACAUAGUAUUUCUGCAUAGCAAGAUAAAAAUUGGGAUUCCAGUAAAAGGAAGAGGGAAUAGAAAGAAAAAUGUCAAAGCAGAAUUAGAAAAUCUCUACAAAAGAAAGAUAAUUGUUGUCAGUGGGAAUGCAUUUUCGUAGGUAUCGAAGAACUUACUGCUGCAGAUAAGUAAAAUUUGAAUUCUCUCUCUCCUGGCCUUUGGCUGGGGGAACCGGGGUGGAAGAGGAUCUCUGCUUGCCCUGUAUUUAAGAGAGAGAGAAUUAUUUGGGAAGAGGGUGUUUUUAGAGGAAAAGAGAGAGUUACACGGAAAAAGACAAAGGCGCGAAUUGUUAAGGCCAGAUCUGGCCCGCCUUCGAGGACCUAUAUGAUUUCACCUUGCGAUCGGAUACAAGGGAACUGUUUCACGCCUUCCUUCAGGAGAUGCUAAAUCACCACAGAGAAGGCGUUGACAGGGGAAACUGAAACCAAUAUCACGCCUCUGCUGCUGAAAAGGUCGUAGACAAUCACAGCUCUAGAAAGCGUCUAGUUUCCAAAGAGAUUGUGAUCACGCCUUUGGACUAUAGUUUCUUCCUGUCAUUCGUAAAAAGGAUAAACAAAGCCAUAAUUAAUAAUGAGAAAAUUGUAAAAGUUGAGAAAAUAAACCAACUAAAUGGAUGCUUCACAAGUGAGCAAUCUAGAAGCACUAGCAAAAAAUUGAAGCCUGGAGAUAAGUUUUAUGAAAAUUAUACUCUUAAGUAGGAAUCAUUUAGUAUUAAAACAAUUUUUCAAGGUCAAAAUUUUAUGCUCGUAAAUAAGAUUUUUCUUUUAAUGGGUUUCCCUACUUUCGUAGCCCAACUCCCCAUCUUCAAUCAGCCCAAAAGAAGGAUGUCACUUUGGAACCAAGUUUGAAUGAUGAUUUCUGCUCGAGUUUGUCAAUUUUUAGCGGCAGAUUUCAGUAUAACCUAGGCUUUUGGCCUCCUUUCUGACCCAAAAAAAAAAAAAAAAACUCUUUGAGUUAUAGGUUAAUCCUUCCGUACAAUAUUAGUGUAUAUAUUAGCAGUAGAGGUGUCAAAUAAACCCAUUUAAUUAAUUUUACCCAUACCCGUCAUAUGGGUACAUUAAAUUUUUAUAUAUAGGUAUAAAUGGGUUAUCCAAUUAUACCCAUUUAUUAAAUGGGUAUAAUUGGAUAAUUUAUCAAACCCAAUUAACCCAUUUAACUUACAUUCCCGAACUUCUUUGUAUUUUCAGUUUUCACCGUCAAUCUUCUUCUCCUCCCCACCAGCAAGCCCACUGCUUCCCCCCCUCCCCUUCCUCCAGGCUCCAGUGUUUGAUUCCCCUCUCCCUUCUCCCCGUCUCUGCUUAAUAGAAGGUUUUUGCCCCUUUCAUGCCGAUUCCUGAGCUGAUCUAUGAAUAAACCCGCGGUGUCUUGAAGAUUUUCCCGGAGAAUGUUAAGAGUCUGACCGUUGCUCACCACCUCUGCAAACAGUACCCACAACACAACCACGACUACUGCCAAACUAACCAUUAGAUGCAUGCUACAUAAUUCAUAUUUGAAUUUGAAUUUCACGUUUUGCUGAUGUGACAUAUUUUUAAACCCACUAAUGUUUAUACUGACAGUUUAUGAAACAUUAAUUCAAUUAUUAUUAAUAUUUUUAUAAUUUGAUAUUAUUAUUAUUGUUGUUUUUUUUAAAAAAAAAAAACACUUCGAAUUUGGGUCUGAGUAAAAGCAUCACAACAGACAUCUAUAUAAUUUUUGAAAACAACAGUUUGCAAUUUAUAUCAUAUACUAGUACAAGAUGAUAACACUCCAAAUUAGAGCAUGAUAUCAGCUUCCCUCCUGCAUUUUGGUUAUGAGACGUAUCUUUCCUGGGAUAAUAAUAAUAAUAAUAAUAAUAGAUAGCGUUUACUAAAUUUGGAUUAGCUGCUUGCAACUAAUUGGUGACUUCAAUUUGCUGUAGAUUAAUUAAACCGGUAUUUGGUCGAGUUGAUGGUUAUGUUUAAGGUUUUAGAUUCGGGUACGUAACAAGAAAUAAUCUGAAAUAGUUUCUUGGGGAGAAAGUAAGAUAAUCCUUUUAUGCUGCCGUAUAAGAGAUUGAGCCCGGCUAGAUAAUAAACAGGAGGAAAAAUGACAGAGACCAAAGUUGACCUUCUAACCAAACAUUAUAUAUUUAUUCGGCAAAGUUUCGUAUAUAAAGAGGAAGACAAGGGAAAAGAUCUUUUUUGUUUUUUUUGGUGGGAACAAGGGGAAGACAAUAGACAUUUUGACAGAAAGAAAGUUGACUUUUUUCUUCUUUUGGUAAAUAAAAAUUUAAGCAGAUUCAACUCCAAUCAGAAUCACGGGUUAAGGCAUGUCACCGAAAUUAUAAAUCGUUUACAAAAACUUUUACAAAUCACCCACUAACACAACUUUCAUAUCGAUAGCAAAAUUCGAACACAUGACGAUUUAUGAAAAAGUAGAUCGUUCUUGUUAAUUGAGCCAAUCUAUAUUAACAAAGAAGAUCGAGUGUUCUUUGUAUCUGGACGGUUUUUUGAGAAAAAUACAAGGACGGACACUUCAAUCGAAAGGGAAUAGCCGAUUAGCAUACAUUUAUGCAACAGAACUACUGCUAGACUAUUGCGGAAAAACAUUAAUAAGUCAUAUAUUGCGGAAAAACAUUAAUGGACGGCUUUAAUUAAAUGAAGAACAUAUGAUCACUAAUGAAGAAGUCAUAUAUCAUCCGCAGACAAGGUUGAUGGGAACCGAGAGAGAGAGAGACCAAUCUUUAACAUUAAGAAGAUUAGUCAUCAGACUGGUUUAAUUUUUAUUCUCAAUCUAAAGUCAAUGAAUGUUGCAGUAAAGUUGAUUACUACAACUUAUUAGCUAAUAAUUUGAUUGCAAUAGUUGUUUCUGGGGAAAAUAAUUAAAUGAACUAGGAUCAUCUGGGGUGUUCAUUUUCGCCCAAGUCCAAAGACGUAUGAGAACAAAAGAAUAAUCAGAAACAGAGUAAAGACCAAGUGAUCUAGGUACAUAUUUGAUUCCUUCGAAUUGAUAAACGAAGUGAUUCCUUCGAAUCUAUCUGAGUCCGAAAUGAGGAAUCUUUCUCCCUGCUGCAAAGGAGUUGAAUAUUUGAUUACGGCCAGCUUUGUAUGAAGCCUGCCCAGGUACCGUUUUCAGUACUUCAGCAUAUACAGGCAGGCUACACCUGACGUUGCCCAACUCAAAUUGAUGGCGAUAUGAUUCCAAUUUAUUAGGGACUAUUGCAGGUUAGUCUGUGGUAAGUUGAAUAUCGUUCAUAGAAACCUACUGUUUGAGAAACCACGCCAUUGGUCUCGAGCUUCACCUGGAAUGUGUUUAGUUCAGCUUUGACUUUUAAAUGCAGAUAUGAAUUUCCAAGAAAACAUACAGAAACCACAACUUUGGCUGACCACUUCGACAAGAAAGGCCUGGUUGUUACAAUGCCAAAAUAUCAUGCCUAACUUUUCGAUUAUCAGUAACGCAUUAAAACAAAAGGAAAAAUCAUUCAAAACGUCUCUUACAUCUCGUCAAAUGAAUUUUUUGUCCUUCCUUUUUAAAAUGGUAACUUACGUUCCUUAAUUAAGUUACAUCCCAUUUACAGUAAAGUAAGUAAAUGAGACAGAAAAUUUUAAUCAUUCAAUAAAUGUUUUUACUCUGAAUCUAUUAUGUGACUUAGACAUGGUCAUUUUUUUAGAAAUAGAAAGGUUAAAUACCAUUUAUAGUACAUUAAAUAAUCUGAGUAGGAUAUAUCUUGAACCAUAUUCAUUUUUACCGAUAACAAAGCGAGAUCUAACCCAAUUUAUAUUUAUUUUUGUCACUAAAAAAAUAAGAUAUGAUCUUUUUCUACAUAAAAAAUGAUUGCAUGUAUGAUUUUAAACUUAAAAGUGGUCGAAAACUUAAGUUGGAACAAAAAACUGAUAAUCUGAAUUUGUAAGGAUGUAAAGUUAACAUUUAAAAAAUGAAUGGUGAAAAAAGUCAUUUAAUGAAGUGUGAUGGACGUUUUGAAUGAAUUUCCCUGAAAUAAAUUAACGUCCGUCAAUAAAAGAAAUAGUUAUAUGCAUCAUGAUUUCGAUCACUAACAUACUUAAUGACAUACUUUUUAUCUUGUGUAUCAUUGUUAAAAAUCCAGAGAAGAAUCUGUCAAUCUUAGUUUUUCCCCGGAUGUGGCAUGCAAAAAUCAGUAGAGAUUUCGCAUGUCUUCCAUUUUCCUUUGUAAAUGGAACUAGUAACACAUACCUUCACAUCUUAAUUAAAGUACAUAAUUCUAAAUUUCUGAUAAAAUUUUGAAAUUCUAAAACUUCCAUCCAAACCUAUUGGUCUGACCUCAUGGCGGCUGAAAUGGGUACCUCCAAUUCAAUAAUUCACAGCGCAUUAUCCUAAAGUUAAUAAAAUACUACGUGAAAAGAAUAUGAUUAAACAUUUAUGCAUAAUGUAUUAGUGGAUGGGCCUGCUUCAAAGUCAAAACGAUACUCAACAAGCCCGGAAAAUAUGGAUCUCGGGCCAAGCGCUAGAGGUCCGCUUUCAAUGGAAGAAAACCGUAUCAACUUUAUGCUUAAUCCUCACCAGCUAAGCGUUAAUCACGCGCACUGAUGGACCCGACAUGCAACUUCACCUCAUCCUUUGGUUACGAUGCUUACAUCAUCGCAAUCGCACAUUUAUGAUGAUCGCAAAAUUCUGAUUUGGACCCAGUAAAUCAUAGCCGUCGGAUGUCUGCGCCAGAAAAGCAUAAGAGUUUUAUGUGGCGUUCAUUUCUGCACUCUUUGCUUUCGCAACCCAACUACUGCUACUCCCCAAAGUAAACAUAAUCACGAAAGUGUCCAUGUUCACAUGUUUAAGGGAGCCACUAAUUUGGAGAUGUUAAAUAAUGGGGGACCAAAUUAUUUUGUAUUGGAUUUUCAUUAAGUUGUUGAUUUGCUUAUCUGCACUUAAUGCGCUGAUAUGGAUUAUCUACUGAAAGAAGUACUGUAUUUGUUUCGCUUUAUCUUUGCACCUUUAAGAACAUGCAUUAUAUUUGCAACAUUCUAUGACAUUAUGAUGUCAAAGAAUUUAUCAAACGCAUCUUGAAUCUUGAUUAGGAAUAUACUUGUGAGCCCAUUCGAGUUACUGUCUUCUGGAGUUUUAAUAGAAAAAUAUGACAUAGUGAUUUGAUAUAUAUAAAGUAAGAAGAUAAUUGAUAAAUGUAUUCAUGAAACGUAAAAAAUUUUUAGAAAAAAAGGCAAUUCAAACAAAUCAGACCGCCUAUCAUUAAUUUGGUUACAAUAUUUUUGUUAGGAUGCUUUAGGUGUACAUAUUUCUUAGCGUAAAUAGAAUAAUGAGUGGUAUACUCUAUUUUUAAUAUUUUAAGUUAUUAGUUUCAGAAGAUGUUACCAGCAUCAAUCUCUACUAUUGAGCAAAUAUGAAUCACAAAUCUUUACCAUUGAUCGAAAAUGAAACACCACUUUCUCCAUUUGAACAAAGGUGAAGUAUGAGUAUCCACCUUUUAGUUAUCAAACAAAUAGAAAAUCUCGACCUUGCAUGAUUUUUAGAUAUAUGCUUAUGUUAUUAAACUCUCAUUGACGCAGGUUAUUUCUUCACAAAAUAUUUCAUUUUUUCACAAGUUAACCUUUUGAGUAAUGAUAAAAUAUAAGUAUAUAAUAUUGAGCAAUCAAUGCGCACGAGUCUAUCCUCUCGGUCAAUCUUUGAAGUAAUAGUUUUCUUUUAAAUUCAAUUUAUUACUUUAUGCAAUAUUACAAAAUUUAGGGAAAGAAAUUGGUUGGAUGAUAAUACAAAAGAAAGAGAAUGUAAGUAGAAGAUUCCGAAUUUGAAGUCAUUCACUUAAAAAAAAAAAAAAAAUCAAAAUCGUGCCUCUUGAUAUUCUCGGGAAGAAUUAUUUGUCAUAAAUACUAGAUAAUGAAUUACAUCUCGGUCGGUUGAAUGGGUCUUAGAGACCCCGUUAUCAAAACUAAUGAGAAGGAUCCAUUUGUCAUUUGAAAUGAAUUAAAUAUUUUAUACCUUAUUUCUCCGUCAUGUGUGAAAGUCCGGCGGUGCGUUUUGCUUUAAAACCCAUACGCAGCGCGUCAGUAGUAUAAAGCCACACGCAAUUCGAAAACAAGCAAACACCGCCAUUAACCAAAACAAGCGAAAAGCUCUCCUGAGAAUUUCAGAACUCCAUUCUCCAGCAGCCAAAAACAACAAGGAAGCAAAGAAGAAAUCAGAGAAGGGCUAUUGAGAUCCAUUAUGGCUACCAAGUUUCUGUCGCUGGCAUGCAUAAGAAAUGAAAGCAGGGAUUUGUCUCCGAGGCCGCACUAUCCAUCAAUGCCCAGGUAUCCCAAAGGGGUUUCUUCUGAUGAAGAGAAGAACAUGCAGGGAUCAGAAUCCAAGGCUUUGUUCUCCGUUAUAGGCAUGAAUUGCUCUGCAUGUGCUGGCUCGGUCGAGAAAGCCAUCAAAAGGCUUCCAGGGAUCAAAGAAGCCGUGGUUGAUGUCUUGAAUAACAAAGCCCAAGUCAUGUUUUACCCCAGCUUUGUGAACGUGAGUUACCCUUAGGCAUUCUCUUUUUUUUCUCGGGCUAUGUCUUUUUAUCAUGCAUGUUUUGCAAAAUUGGGAAAAUUAGUGUGUGCAUUGCUAUUCGUCUGUUUAUGUAUUUUUGGCUUUUUUUUUAGGUUUAAUUAAAUUGUGAUAAGGCGAAAUUCAAUUUUCCCUUGUGGGAUUGCAAUUGUGCAUGUGGCUUAAUAUAAUUCUAUCUUACGUAGUUUUGCUGCUACAAUUUUGGGAUCAGAAGUUUUAAACGUUUGAGAUUGUUUAGAUUUUGCUGCAUUUAGUUAAGCAGCUAUAUAAACUACAAAUUAUACAAUUUAAUUAAAAAAACGUAAGAUUUUUGCGAUAGCACUGUCUACCUAUUCCUUUUUAUAAUUAAAAAAGGUUAAGGUAGUGGUUGCAAGCAGUUGCUGAAUUUCAAAGCUAUGGAGAAUCAAUAAUAUUGUUAGUGGGACAAUGCUUGCACUGCUGGAAAAGUCUAUGCUUUACUGAGAUGAGUCCUCACCGGAAUUACAGCCGCUUGGUGGUUUCAAAAUUUUUUUUUUGUUCCCUCUUAGGAAUCUGGAAAUUUCAGUAGGAUAACUUUUAGUUUAGUUUGGAUACAUUGGCGGGCUUUGGGAAUAAUAAAUUUGAUUUUGACCAGAAAAGUCAAAGAUUACACAAAUUAGAGUAUACAUAAAAGAUCUGAUGCCAAUCAAGAGUUGGCUUCUUGGUCUAGUUAAUAGUGAUGGACGUUAUGGUAAAUUGAAACUCAAAGUGGUGGCUAGAUGCUCCUGGCCUUGCUUGUAUGGAUGUUAUAUGGUUCAUUGCCCAGAUUGAAAUGUUAAUUUUAUCAGGCAGCUUAGUAAGACUAGAGAGAACUUUUCCUUUCUUAUCUGCUAUAUUUGGUUUUGAAUUGGUCGUUAUCAACAUAUACACUUAGAACUUCAUGAUAAUUCAUAGAGCAUGAUAUUCUUGAUGGGUAAAAGAUAAUAUUUGAAUGCACCAUAUAUGUUUGUAAUGACUCGCUGAAAAGAUCUUUAAGGCCUGAGACACCAAAAACAGAUCCUGCACAAAUAGAAAACUGUGGACUAUAUGAAUUGUGAAGCAUAUUCAGCGGCACUUUGUGAUAUUAAGUGGACUUGAACCUUCAUUCAUAUUGCAGGUUGAUGAAAUCUGACCUAUUGUUGGUAUUUCUUAAAUCUUUCAGAAGCAUACUGACAUGUAUGUUGUGGUUUUAUCCAAAUAUUCAGAUGAAGCAUCUAUUAAGUUGAGCAAUGUAAAUCAGAAAAUGCAAUGGAAUCUGUUAGAUCAUUAUUAAGAUUGUGCAUAUGAACUUUGAGCACCUCGGGUACAUCUUUAUUACCCACUUCAGACAUGAGUUUUCCUUUUUAGGAGUAAUAGACACAUUAAACAAACUCAUUUGAGACAACUUAAAUGUCUUGAUAUACAAGAAGUGAAUUGAAAUUUACUUUUUAAACAAGUGUAGUCCAGAAGUGUAUAAUAUGUCUCUUAAAUCUCUCUGGCUAUUCACAAUGUAUAUUGCCAUUCAGGAGGAGACAAUCCGUGAAACCAUUGAAGAUGUUGGAUUUCAGGCUACACUAAUCGAAGAAGAUGCAAAUGAGAAAUCCACUCAAGUGUGCAGGAUAAGCAUCAGAGGAAUGACGUGCACUUCUUGCUCAAGUACUGUUGAAUCUGCAUUGCAGGUUAUUCCGGGAGUGCUGAAAGCACGAGUUGCUUUGGCAACAGAAGAGGCUGAAGUCCAUUUCGAUCCAAAAAUUUUGAGCUGCAAUGACCUUUUGCAAGCCAUAGAAGAUACUGGGUUUGAAGCCGUCCUUGUUAGUACCGGGGAGGACAGAAACAAAAUACAGUUGAAAGUUGAUGGUAUACGCUCUGAAAAUUCGAUGAGGAUAAUUGUAAAUUCUCUUCGAGCUCUACCAGGAGUCGAAGAUAUAAAUAUUGAGCCUGAACUGCAGAAAUUAUCCCUUUCAUACAAAGCAGAUGUGACAGGACCAAGAAACUUCAUGAAAGUGAUUGAGUCAACUGGAUCAGGACGCUAUAAAGCAAAAUUAUAUCCUGAAGGGGGAGGAAGAGAUGCACACAAGAAGGAGGAAAUUCAACAAUAUUACAAAUCAUUCCUCUGGAGCUUGGUUUUUACGAUUCCUGUUUUCUUAACCUCCAUGGUUUUCAUGUAUAUUCCAGGUCUCAAGCAUGUACUAGAUACCAAAGUUGUCAACAUGCUCACUGUUGGGGAGGUAUUGAGGUGGGCAUUAUCUACACCGGUACAGUUCAUCAUAGGCCGACGAUUCUAUACUGGCUCAUAUAAAGCAUUACGCCAUGGAUCUGCUAAUAUGGAUGUUUUGAUUGCUCUAGGAACAAAUACAGCAUACUUUUAUUCAGUCUACUCAGUAGUGAGAGCUGCAAGCUCUCCAAAUUUUGAGUCCACUGACUUUUUUGAGACUAGUUCAAUGCUCAUUUCUUUCAUUUUACUGGGCAAGUAUCUUGAGGUUUUGGCAAAGGGGAAGACAUCUGAUGCCAUUGCCAAACUCAUGGACUUGGCUCCUGAGACAGCAAUCCUUUUAACCCUUGAUCAUGAAGGAAGUGUGAUAAAUGAAGAAGAAAUAGAUAGCCGCUUGAUCCAAAAGAAUGACGUGAUUAAAAUCAUCCCUGGUGCAAAAGUAGCUUGUGAUGGAUUUGUCAUCUGGGGACAGAGCCAUGUAAAUGAGAGCAUGAUUACUGGAGAAUCAAGACCAGCAGCUAAAAGAAAGGAUGAUGUUGUUAUUGGAGGAACAGUAAAUGAGAAUGGGGUGCUACAUAUUAAGGCAACAAAGGUUGGAUCAGAAAGUGCUCUUUCCCAGAUUGUUCGACUUGUCGAAUCUGCUCAAAUGGCUAAAGCUCCUGUGCAAAAAUUUGCUGAUCGCAUAUCAAAAUUCUUUGUGCCUCUUGUAAGUGUAAUAUUGAUUAUUAAAUCCAUACUAUUCAACAUGAAAUUUAAAUUUUUUUACUUGUGAACAGUUGACAACUAUUGGUGUUUCACAAUCCACAGGUAAUUGUUCUAUCCUUUUCAACUUGGCUUGCCUGGUUUUUAGCUGGAAAGUUCAGUGGCUACCCAAAGUCAUGGAUCCCAUCCACUAUGGACAGCUUUCAGCUUGCCCUCCAAUUUGGCAUAUCUGUCAUGGUCAUAGCCUGUCCUUGUGCCCUUGGUCUUGCUACUCCAACUGCUGUUAUGGUUGGUACUGGAGUUGGUGCUUCUCAGGGUGUCCUGAUUAAAGGUGGUCAUGCAUUAGAAAGUGCACAUAAGGUUAGAAACUGUACAAUUGCUCCUGUUGAUUGGAGAAAAUGACUUGGAACUUAAAAGAAGAACACCAGUCUAAUGUGGUGUUGAAGAUGUCCUUAACUGCUCACUAUCACCGUAACUUUGCCUUAUUUAACAGGUGAACUGCAUAGUUUUUGACAAGACAGGGACUCUCACAAAGGGCAAGCCAGUGGUUGUUAGUACAAGGCUUUUGAAAAAUAUGGUACUUCGAGAAUUUUGUGAACUGGUUGCUGCAGCUGAGGUAAAUUCUUGUCAAAUUUGAACUGUUUAACUUGAGCUGAGUAGACAACCUGUAAGGCUGUAACCAACAUUGUGGCAUAACUGAGAACUUGUUUACUGCCUCUUCAUGUGCUGCGGCUGUCAUAUUCUUAUUGUGUGUGAAGUACUUCUGUUUUGGUUAUACUAUAGUGAGUUAACUGUUUGAAAUUUGACGCUUGUACUUUUGAAAUUUGAAACAAAAAAACAAUAAUCUGUUUUUGGAGACUUCAAAAAUAAAACAAGAAAACCAAAAGGAACUAGGCAAAAGAAGCUAGAAAGCAUGGCUGCUGUUCGAUUAAACCAAAGCUACAAAUAACAAAACCCACUACACACUCCAAAAUUAAAAGUUGACUGUUUGAUGUUUGCUGUAAUUGAUCAGGUCAAUAGUGAGCAUCCUUUAGCGAAGGCAAUUGUUGAAUAUGCUAAAAAAUUUAGAGGAGAAGAUGAGACAAAUAUAUGGCCUGAAGUGAAGGAUUUCGAGUCCAUAACCGGCCAUGGUGUGAAGGCUGUUGUUAGAAACAGGGAAGUUAUUGUGGGAAACAAGAGCUUAAUGUUGAAUAACAACAUUGGUAUUUCACUUGAUGCUGAAGAAAUCCUAUCAGAAACUGAAAGCUCAGCUCAAACAGCAAUUCUUGUAUCAAUUGAUCACGAACUAGUUGGAGUUCUUGCCAUAUCUGAUCCACUGAAACCUGGGGCUCAAGAAGUCAUUUCCAUUCUUAAUUCCAUGAGGAUCAAGACUAUAUUAGUUACUGGAGACAACUGGGGAACAGCUCAUGCUGUUGCCAAGGAAGUUGGAAUUGAUACUGUUAUCGCAGAAGCCAAACCCGAGCAUAAAGCAGAGAAAGUUAAGGAAUUGCAGGUAAAGAUAGUCAAGUCUGCUUUAAUAAAUGAUUAUGUACUCUCUGCAUCCUUUUUGAAACAUGGCUUGUACUUUGUAGAUAUCUAGUUAUAGUGCAUUUGUGUACUUAAAUUUGGAUGCAUUUGUUUAUUUAAAUUCUACAUGCCCAUUCUCACAUUGCCUAUGCAAGCAUUGUUUUUACGCUUGACACAUUUUUAGGCUUCAAAUUCUGUUGUGGCAAUGGUUGGAGAUGGAAUCAAUGAUUCACCAGCGCUUGUAGCAGCUGAUGUUGGGAUGGCUAUUGGUGCAGGAACAGACAUAGCCAUUGAAGCAGCUGACAUUGUUCUCAUGAAAAGCAACUUGGAAGAUGUCAUUACUGCCAUAGAUCUUUCCAGAAGCACCUUCCGCCGAAUCCGUUGGAACUACAUCUGGGCUUUGGGCUAUAAUCUCCUAGGCAUCCCAAUUGCUGCUGGGGCACUUUUUCCAUCAACUGGAUUUCGGUUACCACCAUGGAUUGCUGGAGCAGCAAUGGCGGCCUCUUCUGUGAGCGUUGUUUGCUGCUCACUUCUGUUGAAGAAUUAUCGAAGACCCAAGAAGUUGGAUACUUUAGAGAUGCGAGGAAUAACUGUGGAAUGAAGGAUGCAAUUAGUUAUUGACGUUUAAUUCCUGAGUUGUAAAUAUCCAUAUGGUGCCCAUGGAUUUACUUCAGAAUUCAGAUCCACUUUUUAGGCUAGCUUGUAUACAUGAAAAGGAAGCAAACCUGUAAAAGAAGCAAGGCAGCUUUCUAUUUCAUGUUAGCAAGUUCUCUUUCGUUAGUUUUAAUGUACCAACGCUAUGGUUCUCCAUUGCAAUUUGCAAUUCCGUCUCCUUCUAGCAAGCAUCUUACUUUCUUUUACGAUCCUUCCUAGCAUUAUUAUUCAUGUGUACAGCAAGACGUGUCCCAAAUCUACUGUUUUGUUAAUUUGAUGCUGUACAUGAUCUUGGGGAAUUCAACAGAUUUGCUUACACAUUUUACAGCUAGAAACUGCUCAUGCCAUAACAGUAAUGCUCCAUUUGGCGCAUAAUUUGGAUAUGAGAAGAAUCUCAUUUGAAACAGUUCUCCAGACUGGGAUUUGGUCUAAGACCAAUCCUUUGUGUUCUCAGCCUCUCGGCACUACGAUAGAAUGAAAGUGGGAUUGUUAUUGGAUGGUCAAUAAAAGCACCCGACCAGUGGCAACAUCAACCACAUAAUAAUAAGAUUCCUCUAUCAAAUUCUUGCCUUUUUCUUUCCCUUACCCUUUUCUUUCUUUUUUCUUUUUUUUUUCCCUGUAGUGUAUGUAAAGAUUGGCUAGAUCGAGUGCAUGAUUGGGUAAAAGGUAGAAACCAAUCAAUCAUGCAAAUUUAUGACGCAGAAAAUGGAAUUUGCUUGAGAAAUAACCUAUCUUCUUGGUGACUCUCAUCAAUUACCAAAUGCAUGCGGGAGAGUUUAACGUGGCGAAGCAAAAACGAGAGAGACCUGCAAUUUUAGUGCGAACCGUUAAAAGGUAACAUGAGACGUCUCAUUGGUACGCUGUCCAAUUUAUUAUGUAUAAAGGGCUGAUCAAAAGUAAAGGGCCAAAGAGUUUUUUGCUUGAGGAAUUCUUAAUUCAAUGUGCGGUUUCAGGGUGGAACGCAACAGCAACAGCAACACACACAGCAAGGGAGAAUCAAAGAAAAGCUGUUAAGAGACAAACAGAAAGAUAACCCUUCUUUCUUACCAUCAGAUAGUGAGAUUUCAUUCCAGGCUUAGCUAAUUAUUGGGAGCAUAUAUACACAAAUGACAAGGUGUGGCCAAGCAAGCUGCGCACGGCAGCUGUAUCUUUGCUUCAGUUGGAUUUUCAAGCCUGAACAGUUAUUUUCAGUCAUCUGAAGAUCAAUGGAUGCACUUUCAACUAGGUAAAGUGUUCUAUAAAUCAAGACAUCUUUUUCUCUUGAGUGGAAUUCAUGUUUUAUCCACUGAUUUGCUCUUGGAUGUUGGAUCUUUUCAUCAUCCAUAUCGUCCUUUUUUAAAUCAAUCUUGCUUACUCUUACUUCUCACGUUCCUUGUCAUGGUUCCAUAAUUUCUGUUUUACUCCGGGGAAAAGGAGGUGGGAGGAUAGUUCUAGUGCUUUGAACAAUCAGCAUUUUGAUUGAAUGGGUUAUGCCAUUCACUAAAGAUUAACACCUUGUACGGUGAUUGAGAAAGGAAAGAUUAAUUUCUAGUAAGAACUUUUGGACCUCUUUUCUUACCAAAAUGGUUUCUUAGAACAAAAGCUUUUCUUCAUUGAUGCUGCUACAGUGGAAUUUCUCACAUUGCAGAUGAUAUGACUGCAGUAACGCAUAAAUGGGAAUUGUACCAUAUUGUCUAAAAGAAUUUAUCACUAAAAAAAUAUUAAUUUUGUAUAUAUUAACAAUGUAUACACUAUAUCACAUGUACAAAAAUUGAGUUCGAAUUCAAUUUAAAAUUAAGUUGCAUUGCUAGUCUAUAUAUAUAUACAUACCAUCAAUUAGCUGGCAUCGCUAGCGUAUGUAUCUAUUGUCAAUAUAUACAAAUUAAUUUCAAAGAGAAUUAUCCAAAAGAUCAUAACCUAACAAACACAUGUAUCGUCUCCUCUUGAAAGAUCACACCCAAUGUAAAACAAGAAAUGUGCAGAGCAUUUCUAUAGAUUAUUUUUCCCACUGUUUUUCACCAAAUUGAUAUGUAGGUCUUCUAAUCAAAGCUUUUUUAUUAUGAAGUCUUCCCUUUCGUUAAUGCCUUGUGUUCCUUUCGUACCUAAAUUAUCUUACUUUUUUUUUUUCUUUUCACUCACAUUGCCGGGAAAGUGGAAAUCUACACUGGAAGGAACCAUACCAUGACAUGAUUGGGUUCAUUUUCUAUUUUGAUAAAAUAAAAUUCGAAAGAGAGUGAUUAAGCAUUUUCUUGUGGUAAUUGCUCACUGCAUUAUUGGCUGGGCCUCCUAUAAAGUAAAACAGCUUUGGGAAAGUUGGGUUACGGGCCCAGCAACAAAAGGCCAAAGUGUUAACAAACUUUUUUAUCAUUAUCCAGGAAAAGUCAAGCAACCCAACUACAUCCUGUACCUCCAAGAGCGUAUAUACGAGUCGGGUACUCGUCUCGUGUAUCAUUUGGCUGAUUUGACUUAUAUUUUAUGAGUCUGUCAUUUUCUGACUCUUAACUACUUCGCAUAUCAGCGGAUACCCGAUCGAGUACCUGCUGAGAUAGAAUCGGAUCAACGAGCACCCGUCCCACUCCACUUAUUAUUUUUUUUAAAAAAAUGAUUUAUACUAAUUUAAAUUUGUAUUUUACACAAUCAUCUAAGAUAAGAUUUAAUGAAGAUUUUUUUCCAAAAAGUCUCCCAUCAAGAAACAAGCAUGCGAAAAGAAUACAGGAAAAAGUAAAAAAAAUUAAAAGAAUUCAAAAUCAAUAAAAGUUUGAAAUAAGUAGCACAUUUUUUUAAUAUAUGGUCCAUAUUAAUUAAACUCUUUUCUAUAAAAUAUAAGAUUAUGACCUCUACAAAUAAAUCUUGUAAAUAAACUAUAGUAUCUCAUAUUUGUAAUGCAAUGUAUUUAAUGGAAUUGCUUAUUUAGUUCUAAAAAUAUUAUUUUAUAGUAUGUGCAUAAAAAUAAAAAAAUAUAGCAGGUAAUUUUGGGUAUCCGCGGGUUUUUAAUUAUGUUACUCUAACCCUCCCCACGUCUAAACAGAUAUCCGACCCUCUUUUGACCCGAUCAAAAUAAUAUGGAUUUGGUAUCCUAAUUUUUGGAUCGGAUCGGAUCAGAUAUGACGAAUUUUGGGGUUAGCGAGUAAUUUUGCCCACCCCACCCCUGACAUACAGAAUGUAAUAUAGCAAGAGCAUAACAGGGAAAUAUGUAACAAAAGAUCUUUUGCCCAAAAUAAUUGAAUUAGUAUGAUGUUUUAUUAGUAGUAUCUUUUAUUUAAACAAAAUAUAAUUCAAUUUUUUAGCGUACAUCCAAAUGUGAGACAAAUAAUAAAAAAAAUUAGAGCAAUUCAAGUAUGUAAAUGCACUUGUAGAGGACAAAUUUACCAAAAGAAUGCAUGGUCUGGUCAAGAAUAGAUUCUGACUGUAACAGUACUAGUGCAUGGUCUGGUCUAAGAUUGAGAAAAACGAAGAAGACAGCAAUGGGAAUCCAUCAAAUCAAGUCGGAAUCAUCAUAAAGCUACUUUACUUUCAAUGCAACUGAAAAUACUCACCCUGCAGAUUAAAUAAACAACAGGACAAAGAUUUUGAUGUAGUCAUUAUCAGAUGGAGCUUGAACUUGCCGGUGACUCGUUCAUGUGUAGUCAUAAUCAAAGUGUUCAUUUAAAAAAUUUUACCAAAAGGGUAAAUUUUGCACUAUAAAUAUGUCAAAGAUCAAGAUGAAGCAUUCCUCAGUGUACUGAAUGUAGGUUGCAAUCAGCGGUAUGCACGAGAAAUGAGGGUAGAGAGUAGGAUUCGUUACCAAGGCUAUUCUUCAAUGCCCGAGUACCCAAAAGGAGUUUCGUCUGAUGAAGAGAAGAACAUGCAGGAAUCAGAAACCAAGGCUUUGUUCUCAGUCAUAGGCAUGACCUGCUCUGCAUGUGCUGGCUCGGUUGAGAAAGCCAUCAAAAGACUUCCGGGGAUCAAAGAGGUGGCAGUUGAUGUCUUGAAGGAUAGAACGCAGGUCAUUUUCUCUCCAAGUUCUGUCAAUGUAAGUCAACAUUAAAGGCAUUUUAGUUCUGUUAUAUUCUUGACAUGAGAAUGUUUUAGCCUGUGUUUAGUUCCUAGCUUUGCACUCCCACUAAGUUUCCUUCAUUCUCUUUUAUCCAUAUGUUUUAUAGUUUAUACCAUAUAUAAAAAUCAGCGCUGUUUUCAUCCCCAUCAACUUGAGGGCCAAUUGUGAAUCUGAAUUUUCGUGUAUUUGAAAGCAAAAUUUUGCAGAAAAGACCAUCAGCUAUGAAAAUUAAAUAGAGUGCAAGUGUAAAAAGCCCUCUCUAAAUUGUGGUGAAAUGGAGAAAUUGAAAAGAGGAUAGUGCUAUGGUGCCGAUAUCAUUAGGUAACUUAAUAUAAAAUAAUAGUAGUUGAUCUGAUGAAGAUCCGAUUCUCUUUCCUUUUGUAACUGUUUACAGCUUCUGCAUCCCAUUUUUUGUGAGUUAAAUAAUGCAUCAAAGUUACAUGCAUGUAACUUUUCAAACUAAAUCGGUAAGAUAGUCUUAUAAAAUAGUAAGUUUUAAGUACUUAAUAAAUUUACUUUUUUUAAUAUUGAAUCUUACCAUCUAUGUAAUGAAUUUUAAUAUAUAUUUUUUUUUUGUCAAACUUACUCACUUUAGCAAUAGGUAAGUUUCUGAUGUAAAUUAGAAAGUUUGUCCAACAAAGUAGCAAAUUUCAAAAGUUACAUUUCUAACAAAACUUACUAUUAUUUUGAUUAAACUUACUAGUUUAGUUGUAUGUAAGUUUUUCAAGUAAAACAGUAAGUUUGUACAAUAAAAAAGUAAAUUUCAAAAAUUACCUUUUUAUUAGCCAAAUUUAACAUUUAUCUGACAAAACUUACUACUGAUCUCAUUAAACUUACUGAUUUAGCUGCAUGUAAGUUUUUCAAGUAAAAUGGUGAGUUUGGACAAUAAAGUAGUAAGUUAUAGUCAUCCAUAUAAGUUACCUUUUUAAUGCACAAACUUUCUAUUUACCUUCCAAAACUUACUAUAAUUGUAAAGAAUUUACUAACCUAUCUUUAAGUAAGUUUCACAAAUAUAUUGGUAAGUUUGUAAGACGAAGUAGUAAAUUUGUAAAACUUACCAAUUCACCAUUUUAUUUGUAAAACUCACCAUUUUUUUUAACAAAAACUUACCAUUAUUUGAAUUAAAUUUACUAAUUAUAAUUGUUGUAACUUUCUUAAGUAAAAUGGUAAGUUUGUGAAAUAAAGUAGCAAGUUUGGACAAUUAACCAAUUUAUCAUUUUAAUUGUAAAACUUACCAUUUUUUAACAAAAAACUUACUGUUAUUUGAAUUAAACUUACUAAAUAUAAUUGUUGUAACUUUCUUAAGUAAAAUGGUAAGCUUGUAAAAUAAAGUAGCAAGUUUGAACAAUUCACCUAUUUACCAUUUUAUUUGUAAAACAUACCAUUUGUCAAUAAAAACUCACUAUUAUUUGAAUUAAACUUACUAAUUAUAAAGUAGUAAGUUUCGUUGGAGAAGUAUUAAAGGGUAAAUUUCAUAUCACACUUAUAACUUACCAAUUUAAUUAACAAAGUUACCAUAUUAUCACCUGAUGUUACUUUGAAUAUUGGAAACCUGAAUGAACAUUCGUGCAAUUGUCGCUAAAUAUACCAAUCUUGGAUGUGGGAACCACAAUCAACCGGUUGUAUCAGUAUUUUAAUAUAAAAUAUUCACAAGUUCUGGUAACGAUCCGCACUGUAGCAUUAUCCUUGAAAAGAAAGUGAAGUAAUUCAUUUGGAAAUCAGGGGGUGGGAUAAAAGGGGGAGGAUUUGAAUAUAAACUUUCUUAUAGAACAGAGAGGUGAAGUCUUAGAGAGAGGAAAUUGGAACUAACGUCUAAAUUCUAAGUAAUAUGAAGCAUCUAAAUUCCUAGCUGCACCACGUUAUUCUGAAACGUAUUUCUAUAGGAUUUGAAAGAUUUGUUUUUUUUUUGGAAAGCCAAAAUGGUUUGUGAUAACUUUUUUCAACUUAAAAUAGGAUAAAUCACUGGUCAGAAUUGCAUCUAAACGUUAUUUAAAUAGCUUUUACUUGUAAAAGAAAAAAGUUAAGUAAAAUUUAGAAUCAGGGAUUUAAAGGGAACAAUUGCGUGUUGGAUAUGCUACACAAACUCUCGCCAGACCCCGUUUACUUGUAGACACUUAUAUAAGGAGACCAAGAGCAUUGUGUUCCAAUUUGCUCGUUUUCUAGAGUAUAGUUUGCAAGAUGCUUGACAAUCUUGUCCAUCAACAUUCAGGAGGAAACAAUCCGUCAGACCAUUGAAGACAUAGGAUUCAAGGCUACAUUAAUAGAGGAAACGGCAAACGAGAAAUGUAUUUGGGUAUGCAGGAUAAGGAUUGUCGGAAUGGCUUGCACUUCUUGCUCCGGUGCUGUUGAAUCCGUGUUAAAGCUUGUUCCUGGUGUACAGAGAGCCCAAGUUGCUUUAGCAACAGGAGAGGCUGAAGUGAAAUGUGAUCACAAGUUGUUAAGCUGCAAAGAACUCUUGCAGGCGAUAGAUGAUAUAGGGUUUGAAGCCAUUAUCGUUGGUACAGGGGAGAGUAGAAAUAAAAUACAGCUCAAAGUUGAUGGACUAUGUAAUGAAAAUAACGUGCAAAUGAUAGUAAGCUCUCUCGAAGGACAGCCAGGAAUACAGGAUAUACAGGUCGAGGCUGAGCUUCAUAAAGUAUCCAUUUCAUAUCUAGCAGAUGUAACAGGACCAAGAAAUUUCAUUCGAGUUAUUGAAUCAACUGGAUCAGGACAGUUCAAGGCAACGAUAUUUCCUGAGAGGGGAGGAAGAGGAACCCAUAAGCAAGAAGAAAUCAUACAGCAUUACAAUUCAUUGCUGUGGAGCUUGGUUUUUAGCAUUCCUGUUUUCUUGACCUCCAUGAUCUUCAUGUACAUCCCAGUUCUCAAGGAUGGACUAGAUAUGAAAAUUGUUAACAUGCUCAGCAUUGGAGAGGUUUUGAGGUGGGCGUUGUCUACACCAGUGCAGUUCAUAAUAGGCCGGCGAUUUUAUGCUGGCUCUUAUAAAGCAUUACGUAAUGGUUCCCCAAACAUGGAUGUUCUGGUUGCCCUGGGAACAAAUGCAGCAUACUUCUAUUCGGUAUACUCAGUAUUGAGAGCUGCAAGCUCCCCAAAUUUUAAGUCUACUGAUUUUUUUGAGACCAGUUCAAUGCUUAUUUCAUUCAUUUUACUUGGCAAGUAUCUUGAGGUUCUGGCAAAGGGCAAAACAUGUCAGGCCAUCACCAAGCUCAUGGACUUGGCUCCAGAGACAGCAAUAUUGUUAACCCUUGAUGAUGAAGGCAAUGUGACAAAAGAAGAAGAAAUAGAGAGUCAACUAAUACAAAAGAAUGAUGUGAUUAAAAUCAUUCCUGGUGCAAAAGUGGCUUGUGAUGGUUUUGUUAUCUGGGGAGAAAGUAAUGUAAAUGAGAGCAUGAUAACUGGAGAGCCUAGACCUGUCAUAAAAAGGAAGGGCGAUGCGGUCAUUGGAGGAACUUUCAACGAGAAUGGGGCGCUACAUAUAAUGGCAACAAAGGUUGGAUCAGAAAGCGCUCUUUCCCAGAUAGUUCGACUUGUUGAGUCAGCGCAAAUGGCUAAAGCUCCCGUGCAAAAAUUUGCUGAUCGUAUCUCAAAGUUCUUCGUACCUCUUGUAAGUGUAUAGCUAUUUCCAAAUCUGGGAUUCUUUCACACAUUAUUCUACAUCAAGAAUAACUGGAAGUAGCUUGAGUUUUAUUUUUGGAAUUUUAACAACUCUCUGUGUUUCACAUUACACAGGUUGUUUUUCUUUCAUUUUCAACUUGGCUUGCCUGGUUUUUAGCUGGAAAACUUAAUGCCUACCCAAAAUCUUUGAUUCCAUCCUCUAUGGAUAGCUUCCAGCUUGCCCUCCAAUUUGGCAUUUCUGUCAUGGUAAUAGCCUGCCCAUGUGCCCUUGGCCUUGCCACUCCAACGGCUGUUAUGGUUGGUACUGGAGUUGGUGCUUCUCAGGGUGUCCUGAUUAAAGGUGGUCAGGCAUUAGAAAGUGCACAUAAGGUUAGAAGCUGGUAAUUAUAAUUUCAUCGUGCUAAUUGGAGGAAAACCAAUCCAAUUCCAACGAUGAAAACUGGAUAUAUCCUAGCGCUAAAGAUUUUCAUAAUGCUUCAUAAACUUUCACAUUAAAUAUCUGCAUGAUUUAACAGGUAGAGUGUAUAGUUUUUGAUAAGACUGGGACUCUCACAAUUGGCAAGCCAAUGGUUGUCGAGACGAGACUUUUGAAAAGUAUGGCACGUCGAGAAUUUUAUGAAAUGGUUGCUGCUGUGGAGGUAAACUUUUACCUAUUCAUGACUACUCUAAUUUGCUUUAAUGCUGCUUGAUUAAAUUCAGUGUUAGAAAUAACAGAACUCAAAAUUGGACUUGACAUUUAGUGGUCCAUUGUGAUUCAUCAGGUGAACAGCGAGCACCCUUUAGCCAAGGCAAUUGUUGAAUAUGCAAAAAAAUUUAGAGAAGAAGAAGAGAGCAAUGUCUGGCCCGAAGUGAAGCAAUUUGAGUCAAUAACAGGGCAGGGCGUGAUGGCUGUUGUUCGAAAUAGGGAAGUAAUUGUAGGAAACAAGCGCUUAAUGUUAAAAAAGAAUGUAGCAAUUCCAGUUAGUGCUGAAAAUUUUCUGGAGGAAACAGAAGGGUUUGCUCAGACUGGAAUUCUUGUGUCAAUUGAUCAUGAGCUAGUUGGAGUUGUUGCAAUAUCUGAUCCAGUGAAACCCGCAGCUCAAGAAGUCAUUUCCAUUCUCACUUCCAUGCAAAUCAAGAGUAUAUUGGUUACAGGUGACAACUGGGGAACUGCUCAUGCCGUUGCCAAAGAAGUUGGAAUUGGCACUGUCAUUGCAGAGGCCAAACCAGAGGUGAAAGCAGAAAAAGUGAAGGAUUUGCAGGUACAAACCAGGCGUUGGUUCAGUAAACAAUAAUGCUCUUACCGUUGUAAAAUUAUAGAUGGAUGAUAAGUCACAAAUGACCUAGUUAGAGCCAUCUCCUAGUCCCACAGUCUCAAUUAUUUAUAAAGAAUUCCACAUUUUUAAUUAGACAUUGUUCUCAUGAUUUGGACAUGUUCACAGGCUUUGAACUUUGUUGUGGCAAUGGUGGGAGACGGAAUUAAUGAUUCACCAGCACUUGUAGCAGCGGAUAUUGGAAUGGCAAUUGGUGCUGGUACAGACAUAGCUAUUGAAGCAGCUGACAUAGUUCUCAUGAAAAGCAAUUUGGAGGAUGUAAUUACUGCCAUAGACCUUUCUCGGUACACUUUUCGUCGAAUUUGCCUCAACUAUAUUUGGGCUUUGGCAUAUAAUCUCAUUGCCAUUCCGGUUGCUGCUGGGGCACUUUUUCCGUCUACAGGAAUUUGCUUACCCCCAUGGGUUGCUGGGGCUGCAAUGGCAGCUUCUUCUCUGACUGUUGUUUGCUGCUCCCUUUUGUUGAAGAACUAUCGGAGACCUAAGAAGUUAGAUGCUCUGGAGUUGCAAGGAUUAACUGUAGAGUGAAGAUGCAUGAAACAAAUAUAAGAACUAUGAUAUCUCCCGCUUCCUCAAUUGUGGAUAACUUUUCCAUCAUGCGUCUGAUUUCCAGGCUAUGUUGUAGUUAAAGUAUAAAGAAACUUGUAAAUAUUGUCAGUCUGCUUUCUUUUUCAUCUGAGAUGUUGCCGAUUGCUACAAGAUUCUGAAGUGGUAAUUAUAUUAACAAAAGACAAGAUAACAGGGUAAAAGACAAGAAUCAUGUAUCACAAGGUAAGAAGAUAUUCGAAUCACGUUAUUGCACUAGCUACUAUGUGUACAACGAACACAAAAAGCUUUAGUUCAAGCAUAGGGCGUGUUAAGAUCCUUAGAAAUAACCGAAUUAUUACCCAGAGACUGACAACAGCAUGUCUGCAUUCUGGAUUUCCUUUUACAUACCAGAUCCGGCGGCUUGUUGGCUGACAUACAACCAGAAAAUGACACGCUACU
Molecule: long non-coding RNA, 37697 nt
Filed under: Coffea arabica (coffee)
Lineage: Eukaryota; Viridiplantae; Streptophyta; Magnoliopsida; Gentianales; Rubiaceae
Description: long non-coding RNA (CARA_LNC006113)
Source: RNAcentral